UCCAGAGGUGGCACGCGUUGUUCGGAAUUACUGGGCGUCAAGGGCGCGUAGGCGGCCUCGCAAGUCCCGUGUGAAAUCCCUCGGCUCAACUGAGGAAUGGCACGGGAAACUGCGGGGCUUGAGUUCGGGAGAGGGAAGCGGAAUUCCGGGUGUAGCGGUGAAAUGCGUAGAUAUUGGGAGGAACACCAGUGGCGAAGGCGGCUACCUGGACCGGUUCUGACGCUGAGGCGCGAAAGCUAGGGGAGCAAACGGG
This 253-nucleotide ribosomal RNA is filed under the name uncultured bacterium. Its description in RNAcentral is "partial 16S ribosomal RNA". It matches the Rfam family "Bacterial small subunit ribosomal RNA", at positions 524 to 776 of the family's 1533-position model. The record is from RNAcentral.